Molecule: ribosomal RNA, 1485 nt
Filed under: uncultured bacterium
Lineage: Bacteria
Description: bacterial SSU rRNA
Rfam family: Bacterial small subunit ribosomal RNA
Source: RNAcentral
GAGUUUGAUCAUGGCUCAGGACGAACGCUGGCGGCGUGCUUAACACAUGCAAGUCGAACGAUGAUGCCCAGCUUGCUGGGUGGAUUAGUGGCGAACGGGUGAGUAACACGUGAGUAACCUGCCCCUGACUCUGGGAUAAGCGUUGGAAACGACGUCUAAUACUGGAUAUGAUCACUGGCCGCAUGGUCUGGUGGUGGAAAGAUUUUUUGGUUGGGGAUGGACUCGCGGCCUAUCAGCUUGUUGGUGAGGUAAUGGCUCACCAAGGCGACGACGGGUAGCCGGCCUGAGAGGGUGACCGGCCACACUGGGACUGAGACACGGCCCAGACUCCUACGGGAGGCAGCAGUGGGGAAUAUUGCACAAUGGGCGAAAGCCUGAUGCAGCAACGCCGCGUGAGGGAUGACGGCCUUCGGGUUGUAAACCUCUUUUAGUAGGGAAGAAGCGAAAGUGACGGUACCUGCAGAAAAAGCACCGGCUAACUACGUGCCAGCAGCCGCGGUAAUACGUAGGGUGCAAGCGUUGUCCGGAAUUAUUGGGCGUAAAGAGCUCGUAGGCGGUUUGUCGCGUCUGCUGUGAAAUCCCGAGGCUCAACCUCGGGCUUGCAGUGGGUACGGGCAGACUAGAGUGCGGUAGGGGAGAUUGGAAUUCCUGGUGUAGCGGUGGAAUGCGCAGAUAUCAGGAGGAACACCGAUGGCGAAGGCAGAUCUCUGGGCCGUAACUGACGCUGAGGAGCGAAAGCAUGGGGAGCGAACAGGAUUAGAUACCCUGGUAGUCCAUGCCCUAAACGUUGGGCGCUAGAUGUAGAGACCUUUCCACGGUUUCUGUGUCGUAGCUAACGCAUUAAGCGCCCCGCCUGGGGAGUACGGCCGCAAGGCUAAAACUCAAAGGAAUUGACGGGGGCCCGCACAAGCGGCGGAGCAUGCGGAUUAAUUCGGUGCAACGCGAGGAACCUUACCAAGGCUUGACAUACACCGGAAACGGCCAGAGAUGGUCGCCCCCUUGUGGUCGGUGUACAGGUGGUGCAUGGUUGUCGUCAGCUCGUGUCGUGAGAUGUUGGGUUAAGUCCCGCAACGAGCGCAACCCUCGUUCUAUGUUGCCAGCGGGUUAUGCCGGGGACUCAUAGGAGACUGCCGGGGUCAACUCGGAGGAAGGUGGGGAUGACGUCAAAUCAUCAUGCCCCUUAUGUCUUGGGCUUCACGCAUGCUACAAUGGCCGGUACAAAGGGCUGCGAUACCGUAAGGUGGAGCGAAUCCCAAAAAGCCGGUCUCAGUUCGGAUUGAGGUCUGCAACUCGACCUCAUGAAGUCGGAGUCGCUAGUAAUCGCAGAUCAGCAACGCUGCGGUGAAUACGUUCCCGGGCCUUGUACACACCGCCCGUCAAGUCAUGAAAGUCGGUAACACCCGAUGCCGGUGGCCUAACCCUUGUGGAAGGAGCCGUCGAAGGUGGGAUCGGUGAUUAGGACUAAGUCGUAACAAGGUAGCCGUA